GACGAACGCUGGCGGCGUGCCUAAUACAUGCAAGUCGAGCGAAGUUUUUCUGGUGCUUGCACUAGAAAAACUUAGCGGCGAACGGGUGAGUAACACGUAAAGAACCUGCCUCAUGGACUGGGACAACUAUUGGAAACGAUAGCUAAUACCGGAUAACAGUAUUUCUCGCAUGAGAGAUAUUUAAAAGUUGGUUAUGCUAACACUAUGAGAUGGCUUUGCGGUGCAUUAGCUAGUUGGUGGGGUAAAGGCCCACCAAGGCGACGAUGCAUAGCCGACCUGAGAGGGUGAUCGGCCACACUGGGACUGAGACACGGCCCAGACUCCUACGGGAGGCAGCAGUAGGGAAUCUUCCGCAAUGGGCGAAAGCCUGACGGAGCAACGCCGCGUGAGUGAAGAAGGAUUUCGGUUCGUAAAGCUCUGUUGUUAGGGAAGAAUGGAUAUGUAGUAACUAUACAUGUAAGAGACGGUACCUAACCAGAAAGCCACGGCUAACUACGUG
Molecule: ribosomal RNA, 499 nt
Filed under: uncultured bacterium
Lineage: Bacteria
Description: partial 16S ribosomal RNA
Rfam family: Bacterial small subunit ribosomal RNA
Source: RNAcentral